This 274-nucleotide ribosomal RNA is filed under the name uncultured bacterium. Its description in RNAcentral is "partial 16S ribosomal RNA". It matches the Rfam family "Bacterial small subunit ribosomal RNA", at positions 523 to 796 of the family's 1533-position model. The record is from RNAcentral.
AUACGGAGGGUGCAAGCGUUAUUCGGAAUCACUGGGCGUAAAGGACGCGUAGGCGGGUUGGCAAGUCAGAUGUGAAAUCGUACAGCUUAACUGUAGAACUGCAUUUGAAACUGCUAACCUAGAGUAUGGGAGGGGGAGAUGGAAUUAGUGGUGUAGGGGUAAAAUCCGUAGAUAUCACUAGGAAUACCGAAAGCGAAGGCGAUCUCCUGGAACAUAACUGACGCUAAGGCGUGAAAGCGUGGGGAGCAAACAGGAUUAGAUACCCUAGUAGUCC